Molecule: non-coding RNA, 342 nt
Organism: Peromyscus maniculatus bairdii (prairie deer mouse)
Lineage: Eukaryota; Metazoa; Chordata; Mammalia; Rodentia; Cricetidae
Source: RefSeq, a predicted model, not a curated record
UGGGCUGCCAGUGACAUGCUCACUCCCUGUUCCAUAGAUGUUGUCAAGGACUUGAAACAGAUUCACAGGACAAAAGAACAUUGGGAGUAACGCAUCUUGAUUUCUUGGGGUGUUGCCUUGGUGACUCUAGGUACAACAUUUGAAAGAUCCACCAUGAUUCCCAGUCCCACAAGAAUCACCCUCUGUUGAGUCUUAAGGUGCCCAUUAUCAAGAACACUGGCAGCCAAGGACAUACUCUGGAACCACAUCCCCUCCCUUUCUUCCUAAGCCAAGUUUUUCCUCACUGUGGAAAUAUCAAGGUCUCUUGUGCUGGCUAGAAGCUUCCCACCUUAACCCUUCUCU